Molecule: transfer RNA, 66 nt
Filed under: Micrutalis calva
Lineage: Eukaryota; Metazoa; Arthropoda; Insecta; Hemiptera; Membracidae
Description: tRNA-Leu
Source: RNAcentral
UCUAACGUGGCAGAAUUAAUGCAUUGAAUUUAAGAUUCAAUUAUAAAUAUAAUUAUUUCUUUAGAA